Molecule: ribosomal RNA, 250 nt
Filed under: uncultured bacterium
Lineage: Bacteria
Description: partial 16S ribosomal RNA
Rfam family: Bacterial small subunit ribosomal RNA
Source: RNAcentral
CGAACGAAAGUUUUUAACUUUAGUGGCGAACGGGUGCGUAAUACGUGAGAAUCUGCCCUUAGGAGAAGAAUAACUGCUGGAAACGGCUGCUAAAUCUUCAUAUGUCGAGAGAUGAAAUAGCUUUGCUGCCUAAGGAUGAGCUCGCGCCUGAUUAGCUAGUUGGUAAGGUAAAAGCUUACCAAGGCGACAAUCAAUAGCUGAUUUGAGAGGAUGAUCAGCCACACUGGGACUGAGACACGGCCCAGACUCC